RNAcentral lists this ribosomal RNA (460 nucleotides) under uncultured bacterium. RNAcentral describes it as "partial 16S ribosomal RNA". It matches the Rfam family "Bacterial small subunit ribosomal RNA", at positions 338 to 795 of the family's 1533-position model. The record is from RNAcentral.
CCUACGGGGAGCAGCAGUGAGGAAUAUUGGUCAAUGGGCGGAAGCCUGAACCAGCCAAGUCGCGUGAGGGAAUAAGGCCCUACGGGUCGUAAACCUCUUUUGCCGGGGAGCAAGGGCGGGGACGUGUCCCGGCCCGGAGAGUACCCGGAGAAAAAGCAUCGGCUAACUCCGUGCCAGCAGCCGCGGUAAUACGGAGGAUGCGAGCGUGAUCCGGAUUUAGUGGGUUUAAAGGGUGCGUAGGCGGGCUUUUAAGUCAGCGGUAAAAAUUCGGGGCUCAACCCCGUCCGGCCGUUGAAACUGGGAGCCUUGAGUGGGCGAGAGGAAGGCGGAAUGCGUGGUGUAGCGGUGAAAUGCAUAGAUAUCACGCAGAACCCCGAUUGCGAAGGCUGCCUUCCGGCGCCCUACUGACGCUGAGGCACGAAAGUGCGGGGAUCGAACAGGAUUAGAUACCCUAGUAGUC